CCUACGUGAGGCUGCAGUGGGGGAUAUUGCACAAUGGGGGAAACCCUGAUGCAGCGACGCCGCGUGAGUGAAGAAGUAUUUCGGUAUGUAAAGCUCUAUCAGUAGGGAAGAAAAUGACAGUACCUGACCAAGAAGCCCCGGCUAACUACAUGCCAGCAGCCGUGGUAAUACGGGAGGGGCAAGCGUUAUCCGGAUUUACUGGGUGUAAAGGGAGCGUAGACGGUUAUGUAAGUCUGUAGUUAAAGCCCGGGGCCCAACCCCUGGACUGCUUUGGAAACUGUGUAACUUGAGUACAGGAGAGGUAGGCGGAAUUACUGGUGUAGCGGUGAAAUGCGUAGAUAUAAGGAAGAACACCGGCAGCGAAGGCGGCCUGCUGGACUGAAACUGACGCUGAGGCUCGAAAGCGUGGGGAGCAAACAGGAUUAGAUACCCUUGUAGUC
RNAcentral lists this ribosomal RNA (440 nucleotides) under uncultured bacterium. RNAcentral describes it as "partial 16S ribosomal RNA". It matches the Rfam family "Bacterial small subunit ribosomal RNA", at positions 338 to 795 of the family's 1533-position model. The record is from RNAcentral.